UGCGAAAAAGCACUUCAUUUAAAAUUAAAAUCCUUGAUUCUUUAAGGCUGUGCUUGACUAGAUAACUAAAUUUUGGAGAACAAUUUUUGUUGUUCUCGAAAACAGAGAAUAUUUCCGUAUAAACUAGAAUAAAUUGUAAAUUACGUUUGAAUGUUGUUUGUUUGUUUCUAGAGAAUAUUGUUGAUAGUGUUGAACGUUUAUGUUGGAAUAAGGUGUUAAAAAGAUAAAAAUUAAAUAAAAUGACAAAUUUGCCCUUGAAUAUAAUAAUCAAAUAUGAUUUAAUAAAUUAAGUAUUAAUUAAAUUAAUUUACAAAUUAAUUAUAUUUGUAUAUUAUUUUGAAAAUAUUAAUUUAGUAGUAUUCAAUUUAAAUAUUUUUUUUUUCGAAACUAAUUUAAAAUAUAAUUAUCUAAAAUGGAAUAGCACUUAUUAAAUUAAAUUAAUCAUUCAAUCAAUUUUCUUUAAUUUACUAAAUUAAAUAUUAAUAAGUCAAAAUAAUGUGGCUCUUAUAAAUAAAAAAAAUUUCAAAAUAAAUUCCUAAACACAUUCUGAAUAGAGAUGUCAACGGGUCGGAUUCGGGGCGGAUUUUUAAAAACCCGAACCCGAACCCGACUCCAAACCCGAUACCCGAGCCCGAACCCGAACCCGACGGAUUUUAAAAAUCCAUAUCCAAACCCGAACCCGACCAAAAAUCCGAAACCCGAACCCGAACCCGAACCCGAAAAUUUGAACCCGAAAUAAUUAUUUCUUUUUUUCAAUAUUUCAAAAUAUAUUAUAUUAAACCUAACUUUUUAAAAUACAAAUUCAAAUAUAACAUCAAAUAUUUAUAUAUAUAUAUUAUAUAUAAUACAAAAUAAAUUCGGGUUCGGGUCGGGUUCGGGUUCGGGUCGGGUACAAUCAAAAUCCAUAUCCGAAUCCAUAUCCGUCGGGUUUCUAUUUUUGAUAUCCAUAUCCGAAUCCAUAUUCAUAUCCACCGGAUAUAUCUGUUUCAUUCGGGUUUGGAUUCGGAUAAAAUUUCGGGUAUCCAUACCCAUUGACAUCCCUAAUUCUGAAG
RNAcentral lists this long non-coding RNA (1052 nucleotides) under Ananas comosus (pineapple). RNAcentral describes it as "long non-coding RNA (ACOM_LNC008091)". The record is from RNAcentral. Lineage: Eukaryota; Viridiplantae; Streptophyta; Magnoliopsida; Poales; Bromeliaceae.